AACUAAUAAGCUUUUAGAAGCAAGUAUUUUGAAAGUACAAGAAAAGGAUUAAUAACCUUAUUAGUUUUAC
This 70-nucleotide transfer RNA is filed under the name Brachythemis contaminata. RNAcentral's name for it is "tRNA-Ser". The record is from RNAcentral. Lineage: Eukaryota; Metazoa; Arthropoda; Insecta; Odonata; Libellulidae.